UGCAAAAUAACAAAUAUAGAGAUUGGAUAACGACCAAGUUCUGCCAUACUUGCAAUAUUAGAAGCAUAUUUAGUGGCACCAAGUACAUAUUUACAAUAUCGAAUGUGAACCUUUUCAGGAACAAAAUUUAAAAAAGUUUUUUCUAAAUCAUCAUUUGAACCUUGUGUUAAUCUUUUGUCCAGGUUAAGAAUGUACGGACCCCACAAUUCACUUCCAUAGAGAAGGACUGGUUUUACACAGGAGUCAAAAAGUUUUAAAAGCAA
Molecule: long non-coding RNA, 263 nt
Filed under: Mytilus galloprovincialis (Mediterranean mussel)
Lineage: Eukaryota; Metazoa; Mollusca; Bivalvia; Mytilida; Mytilidae
Source: RNAcentral